This 5403-nucleotide long non-coding RNA is filed under the name Lupinus angustifolius (narrow-leaved blue lupine). RNAcentral describes it as "long non-coding RNA (LANG_LNC001818)". Lineage: Eukaryota; Viridiplantae; Streptophyta; Magnoliopsida; Fabales; Fabaceae. The record is from RNAcentral.
ACUUAAUUACACUUCCCACUAUUUUUGUUUACGAAAUUACAAUUAUCUCUCUUAUGGAGGCAAUCAAUAUAAUACAUAUAUAUAUAUACAUAUAUAAUUGGGGUGAUUUAUGUAGGUUUUAAAAAUGUGUGAAUAAUUCAUAUAAUUUCACUAAAACUUUAAGGUGUCAGUGUAAUUUACUCAAAUUUAAAAGAAUGAAAGUGAUUUAAUUCCAUUAUCCCAUCUCCUUAGUUUAUGUUGGGUUUUACAGAUGCUUUGAUAUCCUCUUUUACUGGUUGUAACUUUUCUCUCCUUAUAAAGACUAAAUAAUUUCCAUUGAGCUAUCGUUUGGUUGUUUAUUUAUCUAGACACAAGAAUUAUAUAGGUGAACUUUACUAGAAAAGAAAAGAGUUUAUUGUUACUUCAGAAUUAAUUUGAGAUGAAACGUGUUACGAAAUCUGGUUAUCUAAUGGUUAUAUCAUAGAUUCGUAUUAGCUAUAGUACAUGUGACACGUGUGGUAUAAGAUAUAGUCCAAUGUCAUCCCACUUUAGAUAUUAAUAGAAUGUGUGAUGAUAAUAUAAAAGUAUAGAAAUCUAAUAUAUAACAUGUCAUUACCUAACAUGUAUGUGAAUGUCCUUGUUGGGCUGUCUACAAGGCCACAUAGGAUUAUCAAUAAACCUCUUAAACUCAAAGAUUAUAUCUUGGAUAAUUAGAUUAGAUUUAAUAAGUUUAUAUCUCGGAUAAUUAGAUUAGAUUUAAUAAGUUGUUAGGAUUAUAAUUUUCAUAUCCGUAAUAUAUCUUUCUUAAAUAAGGAUGCUCAAGAGUAUCUGGCCCAUAGACUCAAUUUCUCUAUUUAAGUGAUGAUCAUCCACAUUAUGAGGAUAUAAAAAAACAAGUACUUUCUUUUACAAUUCUGAGUUUUUCUUUAGAUUCUUAAAUUUUUAUUAUUCUCCUAGGGUUAUAACCCUAACAUUGAUGCUUUCAUUGUUGUCUUCAUGCCUCCCAAAUCAAAUUCAACUUCUUCUUCCUCCCAUUCCAAUAUGGAGGAAACAUCUAACAGUGCGGUCCUUGCACAACUAGCAUCUCUGGAACAACACCUUUCGGACAGACAAGAGAUGAUGCAAGCUUCUAUGGAGGCUCGCUUGGAAAACAUGCUGACCGGACUGGUGGAGAAACUGGCAAACCUAGGCACUACAAACACACACUCUCCACAACAACUACCAAUUCAUGGAUCUCAACCCAGACCCCAACACCCAUGUACGUGCCAGGAUAUUUCCCACCACCAAGUAUGAUUAAACCACCCAAAUUACAUGUCCAACAAUUUGAUGGUUCAAAUCCUCAAGAUUGGGUAUUUCAAGCUGAACAAUAUUUCAAUCUUUAUCAAGUGGCACAUAUCCAACUAGUGGAAUUGGUUGCUUUUUCUAUGAAAGGAGAUGCUUUAAGUUGGUAUAAAUGGAUGUUUAAUACCAAUCAACUUACUAGCUGGGAAGCAUUCACAAAGGCCUUGCUCAUUCGCUUUGGGCCAUCUACGUUUGCUAACCCCCAAGCGGAAUUGUUUAAACUAUGACAAACAACUACCGUUACAGAGUACCAAACCCGAUUUGAACGUCUUUCAAAUCAGGUGGUUGGACUACCACCAGAGAUGGUAUUGAAUUGUUUCUUAUCCGGGUUAAACCCUGAAAUUGCAAGGGAGUUAGCACUACAACAAUCGUUUUCAGUUACUCAUGCAAUUGGAAUGACAAAAUUGGUUGAAAGCAAAAUUAAUGCUGCUAAGACAAACCUGUGGCGCUCAACACGUGCAACUGUAUCAGUUGCAAACAAUCAGAACGUCGCUACGAUGACUCAACCACCACCAAAUCAAACUCAUGCAUCACUACCAAUUAAACGCCUUACUGCAGCACAAAUGCAAACGAGGAGAGCUCAAGGACUAUGCGACAAUUGUUAUGAAAAAUAUAUUACAGGACAUCGUUGCAAACCUCAACAAUUCCUAUUACUCUUAAUUGAAGAUCCUACUGAUAAUUAUCACAACUUGGAACCUUUAGACAACAUUUCCAACCUCAGUUACGAACAAGAAGUCCCCGCCGAUAACAAGGUGAUUCACUUCCACCUCUCUGACCAAGCUUUCUAAGGCAAUCCAUCGCCCAAAACUCUAAAACUUCAGGAAACUAUUUUGGGUCACAAGGUAACAGUUUUAGUGGAUACAGGAAGUUCACAUAAUGUUAUGCAACCACGUGUCGCACAAUUUCUACAACUUCCUAUAUCACCCACACCAAAAUUCCCUGUAAUGGUGGGGAAUGGUGAACGCACCUACUGUACAGGCUUGUGCAAAGAGACGCCAAUCAACUUGCAACAACAACUAUUUACUAUUCCAUUUUAUUUAUUACCUAUUCAAAGAGCAGAUGUAGUAUUGGGAAUAGAAUGGUUAAGCACAUUGGGGCCAGUAACUUCAGAUUUUUCAGUUCCAUCCAUGACGUUCACUCAUGAUCACAAGCCUAUCACACUCACUGGUCAACAUUCACACACUCCAACUCUAGCAUCUUUUCAUCAACUCCGCCGCUUGUCCAACAUGGACGCUAUUGCAUAUAUUUUCUACAUUACUAUUUACCCACAAGCCACAAUGCACACCUUAGCCGUCCCAGAACCAGACACCAAUAACCCUAUUACAGACCUUCACCCAGACAUACAAACCCUCUUACAAGACUUUGACAAUGUAUUUACCAACCCAACAGGCCUACCACCACCUAGACCUCAUGAUUACAAAAUUAUCCUUUUACCCAACCAACCCCCAGCCAAUGUUAAACCAUAUCGUUACCCACACUCACAAAAAGAAGCCAUGGCAACCUUACUAGUUGACAUGUUACAACAAGGCAUAGUGACUCUAAGCACAAGCCCAUUUUCGUCCCCAGUGUUGUUGGUUAGAAAAAAAGAUGGGUCCUGUCAAUUUUGUGUCGAUUAUCGAAACCUAAAUGCAAUUACAUUCAAAAAUAGAUUUCCAAUCCCAACAAUCGAUGAGCUUUUAGAUGAAUUAGCAGGUGCAAGUAUAUUUUCAAAAAUCGACUUACAAUUAGGGUAUCAUCAGAUCCGUCUUGACCCAGCAGAUACCCAUAAAACAGCUUUCAGAACUGCAGAUGGACAUUAUGAAUUUUUGGUGAUGCCGUUCAGGCUCACAAAUGGGCCCUCGACAUUUCAAUCCGCCAUGAAUGACUUACUAAGACCGUUCAUUCGAAAAUUUGUUCUGGUUUUUUUGAUGACAUACUAGUCUAUAGCCCAUGUUUUAGUGAACACAUAAAGCAUUUAUAGGUGAUCUUACGUUUAUUAUCUCAGUCCCAGUUCUUUGCAAAAAAAUCAAAGUGUUCUUUUGGGGUUUCUUGUGUGGAUUAUUUGGGCCACGUGUUAUCUGGUCAGGGCGAACAACCCGAUCCAGAAAAGAUAAAGGCCAUAGACUGACCCACACCUCGGUCAAUCACGACCCUGCGAGGAUUUUUGGGCCUAAUUGGGUUCUAUCGGUGUUUCAUUAAACAAUAUGCCACACACGCCGCUCACCUGACUGAUCUACUAAGAACAUGAAGUUUUACAUGGUCUACAAAUGCCGAGUCGACUUUUACACAAAUGAAAAAAAUAAUGUCCUCGGCACCAGUGCUGACUCUCCCCGAAUUCUCCAAGACUUUUGAUGUGGAAACAGAUGCAUCAGCCAUCGCUAUAGGUUCAGUACUAUCCCAAGACGGACACCCAAUCGCAUUCUUUAGCAAAAAAAUGUCACCACGGAUGCAAGCAACAUCUACAUAUGUCAGAGAAAUGUAUGUAGUCAUAGAGUCAGUAAAAAAAUGGAGACAAUAUCUAAUUGGACAUUACUUCCACAUUUUUACAGACCAACAGAGUCUAAAACAUCUAAUGACCCAAACAUUCCAAACUACUGAACAACAAAAAUGGGCAACAAAACUACAAGGAUUUGAGUAUGAAAUUUUCUACAGACCCGGGAAGGAGAACAGGGCCGCCGAUGCAUUGUCCAGGUGUUUCUUCGACGAUGAUAAGUUGUUAGCCAUCAUAUCUUCACCGAUACCACAGUUGUUGCAACAACUCACCACCUUCUAUACCUUAGAGGAAGGCAAAUCGUUAACAAAUGAGGUAUUAAACUCAAACAAACACAACAAUUCAUUCCAUUUUGAUAAUUUUUUACUCUACUAUAAAGACAGGCUAUUCAUACCUGACAUUGACGACUUACGAGCUAUCCUCAUCAAAGAGUUUCACUCUACACCAGCAGCGGGCCACUCCGGGUUGAAACCUACCAUAGCAUGUCUUGCAACCUCUUUCCAUUGGCCCGGAAUGUACAAAGAAACCGAUAUGUCUAGGCACUUCCUAGUAUGUCAACAAGUUUGGGAAGAUAUUUCCAUGGACUUUAUUACACACUUACCUUCAUCGGGUGGCCAUACGAUUAUCUGGGUAAUAAUGGACCGCUUAACCAAGUUUGCUCAUUUCAUAGCCAUGCCAACGCACUUCACGGCAUUCCAGCUGGCAUCCAGGUUCACCGUAGACAUUUAUAGGUUGCAUGGAGCACCUCGUUCCAUUGUAUCUGACCGAGACCCCGUGUUUAUGAGCAAUAUUUGGAAGGAGUUCUUCAAACUACAAGGAACAAAACUUUGUUUUAGUUCAGCAUACCACCUAGAAUCCGAUGGCGAAACAGAGGUAGUAAAUAGAUGUGUAGAGGGAUACUUACGUUGUUUCACAGCAGAAUAACAAACAAAAUGUUUCCACUAUCUACACUUGGCAGAGUUCUGGUACAACACCAACAAACACUCAGCAACAGGAAUGACCCCAUUUUUUGCCUUGUAUGGCCGACAACCACCAACGAUCCGAGACUACAACUCCGGAACAUCCACAAACAAAUCCUUGAACGAACUCCUACAAGAACGGAAACAAUUAUUAAUGUCAUUAAAGUCAAACCUUUUUAGAGCAAAACAACGAAUGAAUAGCUAUGUGGAUAAGCAUCGAAAAGAACGUACCUUUGAAGUAGGAGCAUGAGUUUGGUUAAAACUACAAGCCUAUCGCCAAACCACAAUGGCACGUAGAGGGUCUCACAAAUUGUCCGGACGAUAUUUUGGACCAUUUCAGGUGAUACGAUGUACUGGAAGUGUCGCCUACGAAUUAGACUUACCAACAGAUUCACAAAUACAUAAUGUUUUUCACGUAUCUUUAUUAAAACCUUUUAUUGGCACAAUACAACCAGGAACCAGUGUUGAAAAUCUAUCUACAAAAACUGGGAAUAAAGUGGCUACAUCAACUAAAGAGAACCAAACAGAAAACAUAAGGGGGAGAAAAAUAUUACAAGCACCCGCGAAACCCCCUUGAUUUCCCAGAAAAUGCAUUCUAAAGCACUAAGGAUACAAGAAUAAGAGGAAGAGCCACUCUCUAUGCAGACACCACCG